Long non-coding RNA from Homo sapiens (human), 508 nucleotides. NCBI's taxonomy places the organism in Eukaryota, Metazoa, Chordata, Mammalia, Primates, Hominidae. The record is from Ensembl.
ACCUGCUUCCAGGAGAACCCAAACCUGCACCAAGGAGUUACCUGCCGGCGCCUCCCACACCCUUCAGCCCCUGCCUCUUCAGUGCCCUGCAGGACCCUGGCCCAAGCGCACCAGCCUUCUAUUUCCCUAACUGCCAGCUACCUGUCCAUCCAUCCACCCUCCUUGGGCCUCAGUUGGGGCUGGAACCUGACACAUUCAUCUGCAUAUCUGGCUCUUUCCUCAAUCUGGAAUGUUCUUUUGACCUUUCUGCACCUGGCUACUUGCCUCGUUCUUUCAGCCUUAUCUCAGACACCUCCAGGAAGCCUUCUCUGAUGCUUUCCUGGCUGGACGACAAGGGAGGAGCAAGCCGAGGAGGGCCUUGAGUGUUUGCACGGAGAUGAAGUUCCUGCCCACAGGUCACAGGGGGUGGCAAGACCUAUAGUUCUGAGACCCCUGAAGGUGCCAGGCAUGGGGCUUGGGAGCUGGGCAUAUGGUGAUUAAAAAAAGAAAAACAACCCAGAUUGUCCCA